GGAGCGUGAGGGCGAGAGAAAAGAGUGUGGGGCGGAGAGACCACAUGCGACGUUGCCCCUGCAUGACCGUGCCGGGUCAACGCCAUCACGAUGUCUCCAGGUCAAGCAAACAGGAAUCUAACUGGACACACAACGGGCAAAUGCACAGUAAAAACCAGAGAUAAAAAAGUUUGACAGACAGGCAAAGUUCUACGAAAUUGUUCAAUUUUACUAUGCCUAUUUCCACAGUACAGAAAAUAUAAUGCUCUCCCCCCCCCCCUCAACCCCUUCCUACAGACCCAUUGUGACCCAACAAAAUGUUGACUGUGGCAUAAUGCAGAACGAUCCCAAUCCAACGUCUGACAUUCACUUUGUUCAUGCCCUAGAACGCAAACAAGUGCUAUAGAAAAACAA
Ixodes scapularis (black-legged tick) is the source of this 393-nucleotide long non-coding RNA. RefSeq lists it as uncharacterized. The transcript has 2 exons. NCBI's taxonomy places the organism in Eukaryota, Metazoa, Arthropoda, Arachnida, Ixodida, Ixodidae. The record is from RefSeq and is a predicted model, not a curated record.